Long non-coding RNA from Myodes glareolus (Bank vole), 673 nucleotides. RefSeq lists it as uncharacterized. Lineage: Eukaryota; Metazoa; Chordata; Mammalia; Rodentia; Cricetidae. The record is from RefSeq and is a predicted model, not a curated record.
UAACCAGCCCUUCCUACUACUUCAGUAUCGCAGCAGCCUAAGACACCCCAGUCCUCGCCUGCCAGAGCUGGAGCCUCACAUUGGAAUGGUGUGAGAUGGCGCCCAUCAACCCCCGCCCUCUUCUCUGUACCUCUUGCUUUGAGGCCAUCAACGUUUCCCAUCACUGCCGUGUGAAAAGUAGAGAAGCCUGAGCCGAAAAGAUUGGGGGUCAACUUGAUGCUAAACAUGUACUCAACUGUCUGACCACUCUGGACACUGCCUACAAGCCCUUUUUGCCAGAGGAUUCUCCACAAACAUAUUCCAGGAGGUUCUGCCAGGUACUUUGUCUGCAGCUACAGCAGAGUACCUGUACCCACCGCAGUUGGCUCCAGGAUGGCCUCCUGCUGUGGACAUUAAAAUCUGCGAUGUGCAGCCUAUGUAUGGAACAGCAGCAUCGACGUGGAACCUGCUUGGAUCCCUCACCCUUUUUUCCUUCCUUCUAUCUCUCUCUCUCUUUUUGUUAAUGUCAUUGUUGAGACAGGGUCUCCCUAUCUAGUCCAGGAUGGCCUUGAACCUAUGGCGAUCCUCCUGCCUCAUGCUCCCAAUUUCUGGAACUAUAAACAUAUACCAUUAUGCCUGACUUUUCAGAUACUUUUAAUCAUGCCUAGGUUAUUAAAAUACUACAAGACCUUAA